GGGUUGUGAGGUUAAGCGACUAAGCGUACACGGUGGAUGCCCUGGCAGUCAGAGGCGAUGAAGGACGUGCUAAUCUGCGAUAAGCGUCGGUGAGGUGAUAUGAACCGUUAUAACCGGCGAUUUCCGAAUGGGGAAACCCAGUGUGUUUCGACACACUAUCAUUAACUGAAUCCAUAGGUUAAUGAGGCGAACCGGGGGAACUGAAACAUCUAAGUACCCCGAGGAAAAGAAAUCAACCGAGAUUCCCCCAGUAGCGGCGAGCGAACGGGGAGGAGCCCAGAGCCUGAAUCAGUGUGUGUGUUAGUGGAAGCGUCUGGAAAGGCGCGCGAUACAGGGUGACAGCCCCGUACACAAAAAUGCACAUAUUGUGAGCUCGAUGAGUAGGGCGGGACACGUGGUAUCCUGUCUGAAUAUGGGGGGACCAUCCUCCAAGGCUAAAUACUCCUGACUGACCGAUAGUGAACCAGUACCGUGAGGGAAAGGCGAAAAGAACCCCGGCGAGGGGAGUGAAAAAGAACCUGAAACCGUGUACGUACAAGCAGUGGGAGCCUCUUAAUGGGGUGACUGCGUACCUUUUGUAUAAUGGGUCAGCGACUUAUAUUCUGUAGCAAGGUUAACCGAAUAGGGGAGCCGAAGGGAAACCGAGUCUUAACUGGGCGUUAAGUUGCAGGGUAUAGA
RNAcentral lists this ribosomal RNA (678 nucleotides) under Escherichia coli. RNAcentral describes it as "partial 23S ribosomal RNA". It matches the Rfam family "Bacterial large subunit ribosomal RNA", at positions 1 to 713 of the family's 2925-position model. Lineage: Bacteria; Pseudomonadati; Pseudomonadota; Gammaproteobacteria; Enterobacterales; Enterobacteriaceae. The record is from RNAcentral.